Molecule: ribosomal RNA, 776 nt
Filed under: uncultured bacterium
Lineage: Bacteria
Description: bacterial SSU rRNA
Rfam family: Bacterial small subunit ribosomal RNA
Source: RNAcentral
CAAGUCGAACGAACCUUUUAGGUUAGUGGCGCACGGGUGCGUAACACCCGUUAAUAUACCCUAGAGUAAGGAAUAACUGCUGGAAACGGUAGCUAAUACCUUAUAAUGACUCCGGUCCAAAGAUUUAUCGCUCUGGGAUUAGCCCGCGCCUGAUUAGAUUGUUGGUGAGGUAACGGCUCACCAAGUCUACGAUCAGUAGGGGGUCUGAGAGGAUGAUCCCCCACACUGGAACUGAGACACGGUCCAGACUCCUACGGGAGGCAGCAGUGAGGAAUAUUGCGCAAUGGAGGAAACUCUGACGCAGCCAUGCCGCGUGAGUGAAGAAGGCCUUAGGGUUGUAAAGCUCUUUCAAUAGUGAAGAUAAUGACGGUAACUAUAGAAGAAGCCCCGGCUAAAUUCGUGCCAGCAGCCGCGGUAAUACGAAUGGGGCAAGCGUUGUUCGGAAUCACUGGGCUUAAAGCGUGCGCAGGCGGAUAAGAAAGUCAGAAGUGAAAUCCCGGAGCUCAACUCCGGAACUGCUUUUGAAACUCCUUAUCUUGAAUCCGGGAGAGGUCAGUAGAAUUCCUAGUGUAGAGGUGAAAUUCGCAGAUAUUAGGAGGAAUACCAGUGGCGUAGGCGACUGACUGGACCGGUAUUGACGCUCAUGUACGAAAGCGUGGGGAGCAAACAGGAUUAGAUACCCUGGUAGUCCACGCCGUANACGAUGUGUGCUAGUUGUUGGGGUCUUUAGGCCUCGGUGACGCAGGGAAACCAUUAAGCACACCGCCUGGGGAGUA